AGCUUGCUGGGGUGGAUGAGUGGCGAACGGGUGAGUAACACGUGAGUAACCUUCCCUUGACUCUGGGAUAAGCCUGGGAAACCGGGUCUAAUACCGGAUGCGACCGUCCACCGCAUGGUGGGGGGUGGAAAGAUUUAUCGGUCUUGGAUGGACUCGCGGCCUAUCAGCUUGUUGGUGGGGUAAUGGCCCACCAAGGCGACGACGGGUAGCCGGCCUGAGAGGGUGACCGGCCACACUGGGACUGAGACACGGCCCAGACUCCUACGGGAGGCAGCAGUGGGGAAUAUUGCACAAUGGGCGCAAGCCUGAUGCAGCGACGCCGCGUGAGGGAUGACGGCCUUCGGGUUGUAAACCUCUUUCAGUAGGGAAGAAGCGAAAGUGACGGUACCUGCAGAAGAAGCGCCGGCUAACUACGUGCCAGCAGCCGCGGUAAUACGUAGGGCGCGAGCGUUAUCCGGAAUUAUUGGGCGUAAAGAGCUCGUAGGCGGUUUGUCACGUCUGCCGUGAAAGUCCGGGGCUUAACCCCGGAUCUGCGGUGGGUACGGGCAGACUGGAGUGCAGUAGGGGAGACUGGAAUUCCUGGUGUAGCGGUGAAAUGCGCAGAUAUCAGGAGGAACACCGAUGGCGAAGGCAGGUCUCUGGGCUGUUACUGACGCUGAGGAGCGAAAGCAUGGGGAGCGAACAGGAUUAGAUACCCUGGUAGUCCAUGCCGUAAACGUUGGGCACUAGGUGUGGGGGCCAUUCCACGGUUUCCGCGCCGCAGCUAACGCAUUAAGUGCCCCGCCUGGGGAGUACGGCCGCAAGGCUAAAACUCAAAGGAAUUGACGGGGGCCCGCACAAGCGGCGGAGCAUGCGGAUUAAUUCGAUGCAACGCGAAGAACCUUACCAAGGCUUGACAUGUUCCCGACCGCCACAGAGAUGUGGUUUCCCCUUUGGGGCGGGUUCACAGGUGGUGCAUGGUUGUCGUCAGCUCGUGUCGUGAGAUGUUGGGUUAAGUCCCGCAACGAGCGCAACCCUCGUUCCAUGUUGCCAGCGGGUUAUGCCGGGGACUCAUGGGAGACUGCCGGGGUCAACUCGAAGGAAGGUGGGGACGACGUCAAAUCAUCAUGCCCCUUAUGUCUUGGGCUUCACGCAUGCUACAAUGGCCGGUACAAUGGGUUGCGAUACUGUGAGGUGGAGCUAAUCCCAAAAAGCCGGU
RNAcentral lists this ribosomal RNA (1198 nucleotides) under Citricoccus zhacaiensis. RNAcentral describes it as "bacterial SSU rRNA". It matches the Rfam family "Bacterial small subunit ribosomal RNA", at positions 77 to 1286 of the family's 1533-position model. Lineage: Bacteria; Bacillati; Actinomycetota; Actinomycetes; Micrococcales; Micrococcaceae. The record is from RNAcentral.